AAAAAAAUAGUUUAUGUAUCAAAUAUGCAUAUUCAAUUUACCAUUUUCUGCAUGUGUCAUAUACAAAUAUAUAGUGUCCAUAUUUGUCCCCAAUAUGUUACAUACGAGGGGAUGCCACGCUCGGCAUUGCCUUGUUUGAACUGUAAAAUGUGUGCACUAGUCUGAAUAAUCACCCAUAAUUAUGCCCAUGUUUACUGAUCUAUCUUAAAGGUAAGGUAAUGGGUUCGUUGAUCCCUUUUAUUCAAAAAGAGCUCUUUUCAGGAGAAUAUCAUAAUAAUAUAGACAAAAGGAAGGAUGUGGGGAAAGCAACAAAUGCGGCAAAAUAUGACAUAUAGAAAACAAAAUGGUUAUGGAGUAAACAUUUGUGUGACAACAACUCAGACG
RNAcentral lists this long non-coding RNA (384 nucleotides) under Mytilus galloprovincialis (Mediterranean mussel). Lineage: Eukaryota; Metazoa; Mollusca; Bivalvia; Mytilida; Mytilidae. The record is from RNAcentral.